CCUUGCCUUCCACCAUGAUUGUGAGGCCUCCCCAGCCAUGUGGAAAUCAUGUUCCAGAAGGCCAGGGCGGUCGGUUCUGCUGCACAAAUGAGGUCAGAGCAAUCAAGAGAGCCAAGGAAGUCCUACUUAUCUGGAUUAAAUAACUCAAUCUACAAACUACUCAACUUUAAUAUAAGGUGGAAAAUAGGAUUUCAAAAGAAAAGAAGAAGGAGAAGAACAAGGACAAGAAACUGAGUUUUGGCAGAAGUCAUCCAGGGACCAGGACUAAAGGAGACUGCUGACUUGCAUACACAUCUUCCAAGAACACACUGGGCAUCAACAUCCAACAAGCGAAAAAAGGAAGGAGCAUGUAGGAUGCCAUGGACCUGGUCUAAAAAUGACACACAGUACUUUCUCUAAUAUUCCACUGGCUGGAUUUCAUCUUAAUGGGUAUACCUAACUGCAGGGAAUUCAUACCUAACUGCAGCGAAUUCAUACCUAACUGCAAGGAAUUCAUACCUAACUGCAAGAAGUCAGAGAGAAGCAUAUGACACGUUCAGAAGAAAGGAACUGCCAUAUUGUGGACAAGGUCACAUGGCAGGGAAUGGUGGGCAGCCUCUAGAAGCUAAGAGCAACCCCCAGCUGACAGCCAGCAAGACAUCAGAGACUUCAGUCCUACUGCCCCAGAAACUGAAUUCUGCCAACAACCUGGACGAGCCUGGACAGAAACCUGAGCCCAGAGUGAGAAAUGCAGCCCCAGCCAACACCUGGAUUUCAGCCUGAUGAGACCCUGAGGAGAGAAUCCAGUCAUGUUGCAUCUGGAAUUCUGACCUAGAGAACUGUGAGUUUGUAAAUUUGUGUUGUUUUAAGUUGCUAAGUUUGUGAAAAUUUGUGAUGCAGCAAUAGAAAACUGAUAUCCUGUGCCUGGCGUGGUGGGUCAUGCCUGUAAUCCCAGCACUUUGUGGGGCUGAGGCGGGCAGAUCACAAGGUCAGACGUUCGAGACCAGCCUGGCCAACAUGGCGAAACCUCAUCUCUACUAAAAAUACAAAAAUUAGCCGGGCAUGGUGGCACGCACCUGUAAUCCCAACUACUCAGGAGGCUGAGGCAGGAGAAUCAAUUGAACCUGGGAGGCAGAGGUUGCAGUGAGCCGAGAUUGUGCCACCAUACUCCAUCCUGGGUGACAGAGUGAGACUCCGUCUCAAAAAAAACAAAAACAAACAAACAAAAAAAACUGAUAUCCUGUCCUAUAGUAGGCAUUUAAUAAAUAUAUGUGGAAUGAAUGAAUGAAUGAAUGAAAGAAAUUUUGAUAUGUUACAUGGUAAAGGUAAGAUAAUUAUAAGAAAGGCAAAAUAUGAAACUAUACUUGUGAUUUUAGAACUAAGUUCUGGAUAGUUUUAAUAACCACAUAUCUUGUAUUAUUUAUAUACAUUCAUGUGACAUUAAUAUAUCAUCUUUAAAUAAAAAAUACUAAAAUAAAAAACAAUACAUGAAAAAAAAAAAAAAAAAA
This 1487-nucleotide long non-coding RNA is filed under the name Homo sapiens (human). Its description in RNAcentral is "uncharacterized LOC101929380 (LOC101929380)". The record is from RNAcentral. Lineage: Eukaryota; Metazoa; Chordata; Mammalia; Primates; Hominidae.